GCUGAAAAGCUAGCCCACGCCCCCAAAAACAACAAAUCACUAUUUAUAACCCCAAACAGAUUAACCCAUCAGUUAACAAAUCAUUUUUCCCCCUUAGUAUAGGCGAUAGAAAAGGGACCCUGGAGCCAUAGAAAAAGUACCGCAAGGGAAAGCUGAAAGAGAAAUGAAACAACCCAGUCAAGCAUAAAAAAGCAGAGAUUUUGACU
Molecule: ribosomal RNA, 206 nt
Filed under: Centropyge vrolikii (pearlscale angelfish)
Lineage: Eukaryota; Metazoa; Chordata; Actinopteri; Pomacanthidae
Description: partial 16S ribosomal RNA
Source: RNAcentral